UACGUAGGGUGCGAGCGUUGCCCGGAUUUAUUGGGCGUAAAGGGCGCGUAGGCGGCUCGGCACGUCCAUUGUGAAAUCGCCCGGCUCAACUGGGCGGGGUCAGCGGAUACGGUCGAGCUUGAGCAAGCUAGGGGGUAAUGGAAUUCCCGGUGUAGUGGUGGAAUGCGUAGAUAUCGGGAGGAACACCAGUGGCGAAGGCGGUUACCUGGGGCUUUGCUGACGCUGAUGCGCGAAAGCGUGGGGAGCGAUCCGG
This 253-nucleotide ribosomal RNA is filed under the name uncultured bacterium. Its description in RNAcentral is "partial 16S ribosomal RNA". It matches the Rfam family "Bacterial small subunit ribosomal RNA", at positions 524 to 776 of the family's 1533-position model. The record is from RNAcentral.